UUAAGUUAAUAAGGGCGCACGGUGGAUGCCUUGGCACUAGAAGCCGAAGAAGGACGUGACAAACGACGAAAUGCUUUGGGGAGCUGUAAGUAAGCGACGAUCCAGAGAUGUCCGAAUGGGGGAACCCACUAGCUGAUGGCUAGUACUCCUAUCUGUUAAGGAUAGGUAGAGGAAGACGCAGUGAACUGAAACAUCUAAGUAGCUGCAGGAAGAGAAAGCAAAAGCGAUUGCCUGAGUAGCGGCGAGCGAAACGGCAGGAGGGCAAACCGAAGAGUUUACUUUUCGGGGUUGUAGGACUGCAAUGUGGACUUAAAGAUUAUAGAAGAAUGACAUGGGAAGGUCAGCCAAAGAGAGUAAGAGCCUCGUAUUCGAAAUAGUCUUUAUACCUAGCAGUAUCCUGAGUACGGCGGGACACGAGAAAUCCCGUCGGAAUCUGGGAGGACCAUCUCCCAACCCUAAAUACUCUCUAGUGACCGAUAGUGAACCAGUACCGUGAGGGAAAGGUGAAAAGCACCCCGGGAGGGGAGUGAAAUAGAACCUGAAACCGUGUGCCUACAACAAGUUCGAGCCCGUUAAUGGGUGAGAGCGUGCCUUUUGUAGAAUGAACCGGCGAGUUACGAUAUGAUGCGAGGUUAAGUUGAAGAGACGGAGCCGCAGGGAAACCGAGUCUGAAUAGGGCGCAUUAGUAUUAUGUCGUAGACCCGAAACCAUGUGACCUACCCAUGAGCAGGUUGAAGGUGAGGUAAAACUCACUGGAGGACCGAACCAGGGCACGUUGAAAAGUGCUUGGAUGACUUGUGGGUAGCGGAGAAAUUCCAAACGAACUUGGAGAUAGCUGGUUCUCUCCGAAAUAGCUUUAGGGCUAGCGUCGACAUUAGAGAUUCUUGGAGGUAGAGCACUGUUUGGGUGAGGGGUCCAUCCCGGAUUACCAAUCUCAGAUAAACUCCGAAUGCCAAUGAAUUAUGGUCGGCAGUCAGACUGCGAGUGCUAAGAUCCGUAGUCGAAAGGGAAACAGCCCAGACCACCAGCUAAGGUCCCAAAAUAAUUGUUAAGUGGAAAAGGAUGUGGGGUUGCACAGACAACUAGGAUGUUAGCUUAGAAGCAGCUAUUCAUUCAAAGAGUGCGUAAUAGCUCACUAGUCGAGUGACCCUGCGCCGAAAAUGUACCGGGGCUAAAACAAUUUACCGAAGCUGUGGAUACCUUUAUAGGUAUGGUAGGAGAGCGUUCUAUGUGUGGAGAAGGUGUACCGUGAGGAGCGCUGGAACGCAUAGAAGUGAGAAUGCCGGUAUGAGUAGCGAAAGACAGGUGAGAAUCCUGUCCACCGUAAGACUAAGGUUUCCAGGGGAAGGCUCGUCCGCCCUGGGUUAGUCGGGACCUAAGGAGAGACCGAAAGGUGUAUCCGAUGGACAACAGGUUGAUAUUCCUGUACUAGAGUAUGUAGUGAAGGAGGGACGCAGUAGGCUAACUAAAGCGUGCGACUGGAAGUGCACGUCUAAGCAGUGAGGUGUGAAUUGAGUUAAAUGCUUAAUUCUAUAACAUUGAGCUGUGAUGGGGAGCGAAGUUUAGUAGCGAAGUUAGUGACGUCACACUGCCAAGAAAAGCUUCUAGCGUUAAUCAUACUCUACCCGUACCGCAAACCGACACAGGUAGUCGAGGCGAGUAGCCUCAGGUGAGCGAGAGAACUCUCGUUAAGGAACUCGGCAAAAUGACCCCGUAACUUCGGGAGAAGGGGUGCUGGCUUUCAGUCAGCCGCAGUGAAUAGGCCCAAGCAACUGUUUAUCAAAAACACAGCUCUCUGCUAAAUCGUAAGAUGAUGUAUAGGGGGUGACGCCUGCCCGGUGCUGGAAGGUUAAGAGGAGUGCUUAGCGUAAGCGAAGGUAUGAAUUGAAGCCCCAGUAAACGGCGGCCGUAACUAUAACGGUCCUAAGGUAGCGAAAUUCCUUGUCGGGUAAGUUCCGACC
Molecule: ribosomal RNA, 1961 nt
Filed under: Pseudomonas aeruginosa
Lineage: Bacteria; Pseudomonadati; Pseudomonadota; Gammaproteobacteria; Pseudomonadales; Pseudomonadaceae
Description: bacterial LSU rRNA
Rfam family: Bacterial large subunit ribosomal RNA
Source: RNAcentral